RNAcentral lists this transfer RNA (73 nucleotides) under Patescibacteria group bacterium. Its description in RNAcentral is "tRNA-Ile". It matches the Rfam family "tRNA". Rfam says of the family: Transfer RNA (tRNA) molecules are approximately 80 nucleotides in length. Their secondary structure includes four short double-helical elements and three loops (D, anti-codon, and T loops). The record is from RNAcentral. RNAcentral also lists the same sequence under 1 other name.
GCGCGUAUAGCUCAGUUGGUAGAGCACACCACUGAUACUGGUGGGGUCCUAGGUUCGAAUCCUAGUACGCGCA